This 500-nucleotide ribosomal RNA is filed under the name uncultured bacterium. Its description in RNAcentral is "partial 16S ribosomal RNA". It matches the Rfam family "Bacterial small subunit ribosomal RNA", at positions 30 to 523 of the family's 1533-position model. The record is from RNAcentral.
AUUGAACGCUGGCGGAAUGCUUUACACAUGCAAGUCGAACGGCAGCACGGACUUCGGUCUGGUGGCGAGUGGCGAACGGGUGAGUAAUGUAUCGGAACGUGCCCAGUCGUGGGGGAUAACGUAGUGAAAAUUACGCUAAUACCGCAUACGAUCUAUGGAUGAAAGCGGGGGAUCGCAAGACCUCGCGCGAUUGGAGCGUCCGAUAUCAGAUUAGGUAGUUGGUGGGGUAAAGGCCCACCAAGGCAACGAUCUGUAGCUGGUCUGAGAGGACGACCAGCCACACUGGAACUGAGACGCGGUCCAGACUCCUACGGGAGGCAGCAGUGGGGAAUUUUGGACAAUGGGCGAAAGCCUGAUCCAGCCAUUCCGCGUGCAGGAUGAAGGCCCUCGGGUUGUAAACUGCUUUUGUACAGAACGAAAAGGUUUCUACUAAUACUAGGAGCUCAUGACGGUACUGUAAGAAUAAGCACCGGCUAACUACGUGCCAGCAGCCGCCGCAG